AUGUACAAAAUUACUCCUAGCGACCAAACAUCUGAAAAGCCGAACAGAAACAGAUUGCACGAAUUUAUUUAAAAAGCCUCCAUCUGGAUAUGGCAAAAAAGAAAAAGGAAAGUGGAAUAAUGGGUUUCUUCAAUCAGAUCAUUAUAUAAAUACAUAAGUUUUAUUGCUGAAGAUGACUUUCAUCUUCCAGUCCCUGUGCACCACGUGCAAUCGAUGGCAAUACGAUAUGGCUCUGACUAUUUGCCGAAAGUACGUUCUGGCCACCUGCGAUCGAUCAAAAGCCUAUCAGUGAACCUUGGACAAAGAGGAAGUAAAAAAUAUAUUAAUGGCGAAUUUUUGUAAAAAGUAGAAGAGGACUCCUUGGGCUCCAUAUUAGGGUGCUCAAAAAUUUUCAAAAACAAUUAAGACUUAAGUAUCUACAUUUAUAAAAAAAUUCUUAACGACAAAUUUAUUGCAGCCUUAUAUUUAUAUGUAUACAUAUUUCAACUAUUUUUAGAUAGGGUCGAAAAUAUUUUUUUCACCUAGAAAAACUCCACUACUGUCUUUUAAACUUUGCUUAAACAAUCGAUUAGUUAAUUUUUCUAGUCUAUUUUUGCAACAUUGAUCGUAUCAAUGGAAGUGGAUCGAUUACCUAACUACUGAAAGAAUUUUCACAAUUGCACUCUACUUAUGAAUUGAAAUACUAUGCAGAAUGCGUAAUAAUGGUUUAUUAGUCAGUGUAUGAUUCAACUUUCGAUCGUUCAAUGAAUAAUGAAGUAAUCUUUCGAACAAGUCGUAAGUGACUAAUGAUUCCGAUCGAUGUUACAAUUGAUAAUAUAGCUAAUGAUACAAUUAACGGUAAAGUGUUAAAGAGGUGUGAACGACAGUAUUAUCCAGAGGCGAAGGACAUUUCAUAAUACCUGAGAAUUCAAUAAACCAAUUAGUAUCUAUCAAUGAGAAUUCAAUAAAUUUUCUGAAUGAUUUUAGAAUAAUUUUCCAGAGGAUUGUUUGUAUAUUUUUAUUAGGAAUAAUUUUAAUAGUGAAAAAAUUGUUAAAAUUUAUGAAAAAUUCUUCACUCGUAUAGAACACUGAAUGCAUUUUUUUACAAUUAAUAUUCGUUUAUGAACAUAUAUUAAAAUUUUUGUUCAAUCUUUUUGAAACGCUCUGUAUAUCAUAUAUAGAAAUACCUCUUCACUGAGGCCGCUAUCGUGCCUCAUGAUGUAAUCGUAGAGGUCACCGCCAUCACCGAGCUCCAGGAUCAGGUAAAGCUUCGUC
Osmia bicornis bicornis is the source of this 1254-nucleotide long non-coding RNA. RefSeq lists it as uncharacterized. The transcript has 4 exons. Lineage: Eukaryota; Metazoa; Arthropoda; Insecta; Hymenoptera; Megachilidae. The record is from RefSeq and is a predicted model, not a curated record.